GCCUCCCUGCCUGCUGCACAGAGACACACACAGACACACACAUACACACACAGACAGAGACUUAUACUGUAAUAAAGAGAACCCCAGACACAGAACCAGAGAGAGAUAAAUACAAAAAAAAAAAGUAAAACCAACAAAAAAAUCAACAAAAAAAAUUGUACCUGUUAAUAACUCCAAGGGAGCACCACCCACUCAACCAACCUCCACAAACUGACAGCUCAGCAACUUCUCCGACUGGCCACCCAUCGCUGGAUGUUCCUCCACUUUAUCCACCAUAUAAAACAACUUUUACCAGUAAAUAUCGGUUUAUUCCUGAAAUCAGAAGCCCUAAACAUACCUUUGUUUAUAAGCCUGUGUGGUUCUGACUGCUGGCAGUUCUGUAGUACAGCAGCUUUAAUCUGAGCAAUUGAGACUGGUCCUACAUUAUCUUCAGACGGCUUGAGGAGGACUUCUGUUCCCAGUUUGGUACUCAAAUACUCCGUCCCACCUUGAGAAGUCACUUACUUUAAAAGGCAGUGAUAAAUUAUUCUCUUUAGCACUAAUGGAAAAUUAUAUUGCAAAGCAGCUUUAUUAUGAACCUUUCGUAUAUUCAUAAUUCCCGUGCAAUCCCAAAUUGGAGAAAAGAGCCUGUUAAAGGUAUAUAUUACUCUAGAUUUUUCUUACUGUAAAUAUUGUAAUUUUAUAAUCCUGUCAAUAUUUUAUUAAUUUACAAAUAUUUAACAAAGUUUAAUCUGUGUGAGUUCAGAUUUAUUUAAUGGUGUUCCACUUCUGUGGUUCCUGCUGCGGUCAGUAUUGCAUUAUAUUCUAUGUAAGAUUAACUUAAAUAAAAAAAAAAGUUAACAUUGAUUUAAAGGCCUCUUUCUGGGAGAACAAAGUAUAGAGGCGAUUCUCUUCUUUAAAAUGUAACACUUAUACUCUUCAGUCCCAGUGCUAAAGUAAUUUAAUGAAAUAUUAGUUACAGCUUUUCAGAGCUAAUGCAGCUAAACAACUGCACUUGGAACUUGUCAUUUUAAAAUUUGAGAAUACUUGAAUGUAAAUGGCUUUUAUCAGCCAGUUUUCAGUGAACAAGAAUCUCUGCAAUAUCUAAUAUAUUGAAAAGCUAAACUCUUUAUAAUGAGUAAAGGGACACUGUACGAUCAGUUUUAAGUUUUUGUAAAAACAAGUAUUUUCAAAGACCAAG
This 1180-nucleotide long non-coding RNA is filed under the name Terrapene triunguis (Three-toed box turtle). RNAcentral describes it as "Terrapene carolina triunguis (Three-toed box turtle) lncRNA (ENSTMTG00000019626.1)". The record is from RNAcentral. Lineage: Eukaryota; Metazoa; Chordata; Testudines; Emydidae.